This 2285-nucleotide ribosomal RNA is filed under the name human metagenome. RNAcentral describes it as "bacterial LSU rRNA". It matches the Rfam family "Bacterial large subunit ribosomal RNA", at positions 3 to 2316 of the family's 2925-position model. The record is from RNAcentral.
UCAAGUUACAAAGGGCGCAGGGCGGAUGCCUUGGCACCAGGAGCCGAAGAAGGACGUGAUAAGCUGCGAAAAGCUGCGGGGAGGAGCAAAUAUCCAUUGAUCCGCAGGUAUCCGAAUGGGGAAACCCGGCAGAAAGAACUUCUGUCACCGUAUGAUGAAUCCAUAGUCAUACGGAGGGAACCCGGCGAACUGAAACAUCUAAGUAGCCGGAGGAAGAGGAAGAAACAUCGAAUCCCUAAGUAGUGGCGAGCGAAAGGGGACGAAGCCCAAACCAAGGAUUUAUCCUUGGGGUUGAGGACCACAUACGAAGAAGCAGUAGGUAGCAGAACGGUUUUGGGAAAGCCGGCUGGAGAGAGUGAAAGCCUCGUAUGCGAAACAGACUGUGAUUCAGUGGUAUCCGGAGUACUACGGGACACGAGAAACCCCGUAGGAAGCAGGGGGGACCACCCCCCAAGGCGAAAUACUACCUGGUGACCGAUAGAGUAUAGUACCGUGAGGGAAAGGUGAAAAGAACCCCGGGAGGGGAGUGAAAGAGAACCUGAAACCCUGUGUCUACAAGCUGCGGAAGAGCGACUAACGCUCGACCGUGUACUUUUUGUAGAACGGUCCGGCGAGUUGCCGUUGCUGGCAGGUUAAGUACUUAAGGUACGGAGCCGAAGGGAAACCAAGUCUUAAUAGGGCGGUAAGUCAGUAACGGCAGACCCGAAACCGGGUGACCUACCCAUGGCCAGGAUGAAGUCUGCGUAAAAGUGGAUGGAGGUCCGAACACACGUCUGUUGAAAAAGGCGGUGAUGAGCUGUGGGUAGCGGAGAAAUUCCAAUCGAACUCGGAGAUAGCUGGUUCUCCCCGAAAUAGCUUUAGGGCUAGCCUCGGUAUAGUCUAAUGGAGGUAGAGCACUGAAUCGCUGCGGGGGCGUCAAAGUCUACCAAUGCGUAUCAAACUCCGAAUGCCAUAUAGAUGUUUACCGGGAGUCAGACUGUAUGAGAUAAGUCGGACAGUCAAAAGGGAAACAGCCCAGACCAUCUGCUAAGGUCCCAAAGUGUAUGUUAAGUGGUAAAGGAUGUGGGGUUUCGAAGACAACUAGGAUGUUGGCUCAGAAGCAGCCAUUCAUUCAAAGAGUGCGUAAUAGCUCACUAGUCGAGAGGUCCUGCGCCGAAAAUGUCCGGGGCUGAAACAUAACACCGAAGCAAUGGAAUAUACCGUAAGGUAUGUUGGUAGGGGAGCAUUGAUAACACGAAGAAGCGGUACCGUAAGGAGCCGUGGAGAGUUAUCAAGAGAGAAUGCCGGAAUGAGUAGCGAGAUGAAGGUGAGAAUCCUUCAGGCCGUAUAUCCAAGGUUUCCAGGGUAAAGCUGAUCUUCCCUGGGGAAGUCGGGACCUAAGCUCAGGCUGAGAAGCGUAGGCGAUGGACAACUGGUUGAUAUUCCAGUACCUCUGGCUAUCAGAAAUGUGGGGACACGGAGAUUCAGGGAGUGCCUGUAAAGGAUUCAGGUGCAAGCAUGGUUUAUGCCGGGCAGGCAAAUCCGUCCGGGUAAGUGAACUGUGUGAUGCGGACCGAAAUAUAAGUAGGGAAGCUCCUGGGAGAGCCGUCGAGAAAAGCCGCUAUUGUGUAGUCAGAGCCCGUACCGUAAACCGACACAGGUGGAUGGGGAGAGUAUCCCAAGGCCGGCGGGAGAAGCAUUGUUAAGGAACUCGGCAAAAUGGCCCCGUAAGUUCGCGAUAAGGGGUGCCUGUAGAGAUACAGGCCGCAGAGAAUAGGCUCAAGCAACUGUUUAGCAAAAACACAGGUCUAUGCGAAACCGUAAGGUGAUGUAUAUGGGCUGACGCCUGCCCGGUGCUGGAAGGUUACGGGGAGUGCUUAGGAGCAAUCCGAAGGUACGAACUUAAGCCCCAGUAAACGGCGGCCGUAACUAUAACGGUCCUAAGGUAGCGAAAUUCCUUGUCGGGUAAGUUCCGACCCGCACGAAAGGCGUAAUGAUUUGAGCGCUGUCUCAACAAUGCACCCGGUGAAAUUGAAGUACCAGUGAAGAUGCUGGUUACCUGCGCCAAGACGGAAAGACCCCAUGGAGCUUUACUCCAUCUUGGUACUGGGAUUAGAUAUAUGAUGUACAGGAUAGGUGGGAGACUAAGAAGCAGGGACGCCAGUUUCUGCGGAGUCAAUGUUGGGAUACCACCCUUCGUGUAUCUGGUUUCUAACCUUUGCCCGUUAUCCGGGCAGGGGACAAUGCCAGGAGGGGAGUUUGACUGGGGCGGUCGCCUCCGAAAGUGUAUCGGAGGCGCUCAAAGG